RNAcentral lists this ribosomal RNA (909 nucleotides) under Talaromyces allahabadensis. RNAcentral describes it as "LSU rRNA". It matches the Rfam family "Eukaryotic large subunit ribosomal RNA", at positions 38 to 965 of the family's 3401-position model. Lineage: Eukaryota; Fungi; Ascomycota; Eurotiomycetes; Eurotiales; Trichocomaceae. The record is from RNAcentral.
GCAUAUCAAUAAGCGGAGGAAAAGAAACCAACAGGGAUUGCCUCAGUAACGGCGAGUGAAGCGGCAAGAGCUCAAAUUUGAAAGCUGGCUCCUUCGGGGUCCGCAUUGUAAUUUGCAGAGGAUGCUUCGGGAGCGGCCCCCAUCUAAGUGCCCUGGAACGGGCCGUCAUAGAGGGUGAAAAUCCCGUCUGGGAUGGGGUGUCCGCGCCCGUGUGAAGCUCCUUCGACGAGUCGAGUUGUUUGGGAAUGCAGCUCUAAAUGGGUGGUAAAUUUCAUCUAAAGCUAAAUAUUGGCCGGAGACCGAUAGCGCACAAGUAGAGUGAUCGAAAGAUGAAAAGCACUUUGAAAAGAGAGUUAAACAGCACGUGAAAUUGUUGAAAGGGAAGCGCUUGCGACCAGACUCGCCCACGGGGUUCAGCCGGCAUUCGUGCCGGUGUACUUCCCCGCGGGCGGGCCAGCGUCGGUUUGGGCGGCCGGUCAAAGGCCCUCGGAAUGUAACGCCCCCCGGGGCGUCUUAUAGCCGAGGGUGCCAUGCGGCCAGCCCAGACCGAGGAACGCGCUUCGGCUCGGACGCUGGCAUAAUGGUCGUAAGCGACCCGUCUUGAAACACGGACCAAGGAGUCUAACAUCUACGCGAGUGUUCGGGUGUCAAACCCGUGCGCGCAGUGAAAGCGAACGGAGGUGGGAACCCCUCGGGGUGCACCAUCGACCGAUCCUGAUGUCUUCGGAUGGAUUUGAGUAUGAGCGUAGCUGUUGGGACCCGAAAGAUGGUGAACUAUGCCUGAAUAGGGUGAAGCCAGAGGAAACUCUGGUGGAGGCUCGCAGCGGUUCUGACGUGCAAAUCGAUCGUCAAAUUUGGGUAUAGGGGCGAAAGACUAAUCGAACCAUCUAGUAGCUGGUUCCUGCCGAA